GUAGGCAGGCAUAAGCCACCAGCACCUGGCUGCCUUUAUUGUGGUUUUUAAGAAAGAAUAUAGGCACAAUAUUUUUUAUGUUAAAGCAUUAUUAAAAUAUAAGGAGUUUUAGAAAGAUCCCCAAGAGUUUACUCUGCUGAUUAUAUCUAAGAUACUAAAUUCCCUGGGUAAGUAGGAAUUGACCCCUGGACCAGUGAAACAGCACUUGCCUUAGCAUGUACACAAGGUCCUGGACUUGAUCCUGAGCACUGGAAUAAAAACAAAACAAGGGACAUGAACAGAGCAUGUGAAGUCAGGCUCUCUAGCUGCAAGGAACCUUCCCUGC
Long non-coding RNA from Perognathus longimembris pacificus (Pacific pocket mouse), 325 nucleotides. RefSeq lists it as uncharacterized. The transcript is spliced from 3 exons. The record is from RefSeq and is a predicted model, not a curated record. NCBI's taxonomy places the organism in Eukaryota, Metazoa, Chordata, Mammalia, Rodentia, Heteromyidae.